UUAACAUCGAUGAUGGCAGGUUGUGUGCU
This 29-nucleotide non-coding RNA is filed under the name Homo sapiens (human). Lineage: Eukaryota; Metazoa; Chordata; Mammalia; Primates; Hominidae. The record is from RNAcentral.